GGGCGGUUAGCUCAGUCUGGGAGAGCGUCGGUCUUACAAACCGAAGGUCACUGGUUCGAACCCAGUAUCGCCCACCA
RNAcentral lists this transfer RNA (77 nucleotides) under Acidobacteriota bacterium. RNAcentral describes it as "tRNA-Val". It matches the Rfam family "tRNA". Rfam says of the family: Transfer RNA (tRNA) molecules are approximately 80 nucleotides in length. Their secondary structure includes four short double-helical elements and three loops (D, anti-codon, and T loops). Further hydrogen bonds mediate the characteristic L-shaped molecular structure. tRNAs have two regions of fundamental functional importance: the anti-codon, which is responsible for specific mRNA codon recognition, and the 3' end, to which the tRNAs corresponding amino acid is attached (by aminoacyl-tRNA synthetases). tRNAs cope with the degeneracy of the genetic code in two manners: having more than one tRNA (with a specific anti-codon) for a particular amino acid; and 'wobble' base-pairing, i.e. permitting non-standard base-pairing at the 3rd anti-codon position. RNAcentral also lists the same sequence under 3 other names. The record is from RNAcentral. Lineage: Bacteria; Pseudomonadati; Acidobacteriota.